AUACGUAGGGGGCGAGCGUCGUCCGGAAUGAUUGGGCGUAAAGGGCGCGUAGGCGGCGCGGUAAGUCUGGAGUGAAAGUCCUGCUUUCAAGGUGGGAAUUGCUUUGGAUACUGCCGCGCUUGAGUGCAGGAGAGGUUAUCGGAAUUCCCGGUGUAGCGGUGAAAUGCGUAGAGAUCGGGAGGAACACCAGUGGCGAAGGCGGGUAACUGGACUGCAACUGACGCUGAGGCGCGAAAGUGUGGGGAGCAAACAGGAUUAGAUACCCUGGUAGUCCACACUGUAAACGAUGAAUGCUAGGUGUAGGGGGUAUCGACCCCUUCUGUGCCGCAGUCAACACAAUAAGCAUUCCGCCUGGGGAGUACGGCCGCAAGGUUGAAACUCAAAUGAAUUGACGGGG
RNAcentral lists this ribosomal RNA (397 nucleotides) under uncultured bacterium. RNAcentral's name for it is "partial 16S ribosomal RNA". It matches the Rfam family "Bacterial small subunit ribosomal RNA", at positions 523 to 918 of the family's 1533-position model. The record is from RNAcentral.